This 923-nucleotide ribosomal RNA is filed under the name Vibrio sp. BL21. RNAcentral's name for it is "bacterial SSU rRNA". It matches the Rfam family "Bacterial small subunit ribosomal RNA", at positions 68 to 984 of the family's 1533-position model. Lineage: Bacteria; Pseudomonadati; Pseudomonadota; Gammaproteobacteria; Vibrionales; Vibrionaceae. The record is from RNAcentral.
UGAACCUUCGGGGAACGUUAAGGGCGUCGAGCGGCGGACGGGUGAGUAAUGCCUAGGAAAUUGCCCUGAUGUGGGGGAUAACCAUUGGAAACGAUGGCUAAUACCGCAUGAUGCCUACGGGCCAAAGAGGGGGACCUUCGGGCCUCUCGCGUCAGGAUAUGCCUAGGUGGGAUUAGCUAGUUGGUGAGGUAAUGGCUCACCAAGGCGACGAUCCCUAGCUGGUCUGAGAGGAUGAUCAGCCACACUGGAACUGAGACACGGUCCAGACUCCUACGGGAGGCAGCAGUGGGGAAUAUUGCACAAUGGGCGCAAGCCUGAUGCAGCCAUGCCGCGUGUGUGAAGAAGGCCUUCGGGUUGUAAAGCACUUUCAGUCGUGAGGAAGGUAGUGUAGUUAAUAGCUGCAUUAUUUGACGUUAGCGACAGAAGAAGCACCGGCUAACUCCGUGCCAGCAGCCGCGGUAAUACGGAGGGUGCGAGCGUUAAUCGGAAUUACUGGGCGUAAAGCGCAUGCAGGUGGUUUGUUAAGUCAGAUGUGAAAGCCCGGGGCUCAACCUCGGAAUAGCAUUUGAAACUGGCAGACUAGAGUACUGUAGAGGGGGGUAGAAUUUCAGGUGUAGCGGUGAAAUGCGUAGAGAUCUGAAGGAAUACCGGUGGCGAAGGCGGCCCCCUGGACAGAUACUGACACUCAGAUGCGAAAGCGUGGGGAGCAAACAGGAUUAGAUACCCUGGUAGUCCACGCCGUAAACGAUGUCUACUUGGAGGUUGUGGCCUUGAGCCGUGGCUUUCGGAGCUAACGCGUUAAGUAGACCGCCUGGGGAGUACGGUCGCAAGAUUAAAACUCAAAUGAAUUGACGGGGGCCCGCACAAGCGGUGGAGCAUGUGGUUUAAUUCGAUGCAACGCGAAGAACCUUACCUACUCUUGA